GCUUAGAAGCAGCCACCCUUGAAAGAGUGCGUAAUAGCUCACUGGUCAAGUGAUUGUGCGCCGAUAAUGUAGCGGGGCUCAAGCACACCGCCGAAGCCGCGGCAACGCAGCAAUGCGUUGGGUAGGGGAGCGUCCUGCAUCCGGUGAAGCCACGGAGUGAUCCAGUGGUGGAGGGUGUGGGAGUGAGAAUGCAGGCAUGAGUAGCGAUAAGGCAAGUGAGAACCUUGCCCGCCGAAAGACCAAGGGUUCCUGGGGCAGGCCAGUCCGCCCAGGGUGAGUCGGGACCUAAGGCGAGGCCGACAGGCGUAGUCGAUGGACAACGGGUUGAUAUUCCCGUACCCGUGUGUGAGCGCCCAAUGACGAAUCAUCGGUACUAACCGCCCAAAAGGUGACUAACCGAGUCCUUUUAGGACAAGGGGGUCGCCGGCUGCGCGGGACCUUCGGUGGUAGUAGUCAAGCGAUGGGGUGACGCAGGAAGGUAGCCGUACCAGUCAGUGGUAAUACUGGGGCAAACCUGUAGCGCGAGAUCUAGGCAAAUCCGGAUCUCUUCAUGCGUGAGAGGUGAUGCAUAGCCGAGUGAGGCGAAUUCGGUGAUCCUCAGCUGCCGAGAAAAGCCUCUAGCGAGCACACACACGGCCCGUACCCCAAACCAACACAGGUGGUCAGGUAGAGAAUACCGAGGCGUACGAGUGAACUAUGGUUAAGGAACUCGGCAAAAUACCCCCGUAACUUCGGGAGAAGGGGGACCCCCUGCGGUCAAGGCCCACGCGGCCGGCAGCGGCGGGGGGUGGCACAAACCAGUGAGAAGCGACUGUUUACUAAAAACACAGGUCCGUGCGAAGUCGCAAGACGAUGUAUACGGACUGACGCCUGCCCGGUGCUGGAAGGUUAAGAGGACCCGUUAACCCCUCGGGGUGAAGCGGAGAAUUUAAGCCCCAGUAAACGGCGGUGGUAACUAUAACCAUCCUAAGGUAGCGAAAUUCCUUGUCGGGUAAGUUCCGACCUGCACGAAUGGCGUAACGACUUCUCAACUGUCUCAACCAUAGACUCGGCGAAAUUGCACUACGAGUAAAGAUGCUCGUUACGCGCGGCAGGACGAAAAGACCCCGGGACCUUCACUAUAGCUUGGUAUUGGCGUUCGAUACGGUUUGUGUAGGAUAGGUGGGAGACUGUGAAACUCACACGCCAGUGUGGGUGGAGUCGUUGUUGAAAUACCACUCUGAUCGUAUUGGACUUCUAACCUCGAACCGUCUAUCCGGUUCAGGGACAGUGCCUGGUGGGUAGUUUAACUGGGGCGGUUGCCUCCUAAAAUGUAACGGAGGCGCUCAAAGGUUCCCUCAGCCUGGUUGGCAAUCAGGUGUCGAGUGUAAGUGCACAAGGGAGCUUGACUGUGAGACUGACAGGUCGAGCAGGGACGAAAGUCGGGACUAGUGAUCCGGCACCCCCGAGUGGAAGGGGUGUCGCUCAACGGAUAAAAGGUACCCCGGGGAUAACAGGCUGAUCUUCCCCAAGAGUCCAUAUCGACGGGAUGGUUUGGCACCUCGAUGUCGGCUCGUCGCAUCCUGGGGCUGGAGUAGGUCCCAAGGGUUGGGCUGUUCGCCCAUUAAAGCGGCACGCGAGCUGGGUUUAGAACGUCGUGAGACAGUUCGGUCUCUAUCCGCCGCGCGCGUCAGAAGCUUGAGGAAACCUGUCCCUAGUACGAGAGGACCGGGACGGACGAACCUCUGGUCCACCAGUUGUCCCACCAGGGGCACCGCUGGAUAGCCACGUUCGGACAGGAUAACCGCUGAAAGCAUCUAAGCGGGAAACCUUCUCCAAGACCAGGCUUCUCACCCAUCAAGUGGGAUAAGGCCCCCCGCAGAACACGGGAUCGAUAGACCAGACCUACACACCCCGCAAGGGGCGCAGGGAACUGGCACUAACCGGCCGAAAACUUACAACA
Molecule: ribosomal RNA, 1942 nt
Filed under: wastewater metagenome
Description: bacterial LSU rRNA
Rfam family: Bacterial large subunit ribosomal RNA
Source: RNAcentral